RNAcentral lists this ribosomal RNA (468 nucleotides) under uncultured bacterium. RNAcentral's name for it is "partial 16S ribosomal RNA". It matches the Rfam family "Bacterial small subunit ribosomal RNA", at positions 28 to 507 of the family's 1533-position model. The record is from RNAcentral.
GACGAACGCUGGCGGCGUGCUUAACACAUGCAAGUCGAACGGUAAGGCCCCGCUUGGGGUGGGCGAGUGGCGGACGGGUGAGUAACUCACAGGUAAGUGACCUGCCGCUGGGGUUGAAUCCUCGUAAGCUAAGUGGAAUACCUAACCGAAACUCGUUCCGCAUGGUGGGGGGGGGUGGGUUAGUUUGUGCGGGGUGGGCUCGGUGCGCGGCAGAUCGGCGUGUGGGUGGGGUACUGGCUUACCAAGGCGUGGACGGGGAGCCGGCCUGAGAGGGUGACCGGCCACAUUGGGACUGAGAGACGGCCCAGACUCCUACGGGAGGCAGCAGUGGGGAAUAUUGCCCAAUGGGCGCAAGCCUGAUGCAGCGACGCCGCGUGGGGGAUGACGGUCUUCGGGUUGUAAACCGCUUUCGGUUGGGACGAAGCGCGAGUGACGGUACCGGGAGAAGAAGCACCGGCUAACUACGUG